Molecule: long non-coding RNA, 584 nt
Filed under: Rattus norvegicus (Norway rat)
Lineage: Eukaryota; Metazoa; Chordata; Mammalia; Rodentia; Muridae
Description: long non-coding RNA NONRATT019076
Source: RNAcentral
GGUUAUUGAAAGUGUGGGGAGGUGACACAAGUGGUUCUUACAAGGAAGCAGUGACCAUUCUCUACAAGAACACCUUCUUCCCUGAGGACAGACAUCAGGGACUUGUUGACCCAACCACUCAGGAUUUCCUGCUUAAUGGUGGGAAUGAGACCAGUUUGCAAUGUCCAGGACCUCAUCUAGCUCAGGGGUGGGCUCACCAGGUGUCUGGGAUCUCUAUAGGGACUAGAGUGGCCCUGGGAUGGGUUCCCAUGGUUAGUUCCCCAGGAGAACAGAACAAUUCGGGGGCUUGUAUAAGGGCAAGGAGAGGUCACCAAAAGCAGUGACUUCUGUUAGAGGCUCCACCUUUCCCUCCCUUUGUGGACUCUGGUAAGAUCAUGAGGGAGAAAAGGCUGCCUGCCACUCACUGCUGGCAGCCUGGUAACCACAGUGUUGUUCUGGCUGUUGCUGCUGAGUGCUGGUACACAGGCUCAGACAGUGGUAAAAUCUUGUCUACCUCCUUAGCUCCACGGAGGCUCUGUGGGGCCCAGAGCAAUCAAAUGGAAGGGCUGUCUUGAGGGAUUCUAGGAUCUUGUGCUAGACUCUGA